This 632-nucleotide unclassified non-coding RNA is filed under the name Bombus terrestris (buff-tailed bumblebee). Its description in RNAcentral is "misc RNA ENSBTSG00005026756.1". The record is from RNAcentral. Lineage: Eukaryota; Metazoa; Arthropoda; Insecta; Hymenoptera; Apidae.
UUCUAUUUCACAGUCUCAUAUUUCACGCUCAAUCGACCUGACACGUGACAUGUCGAAAUCUGGGCAUUUCUGAUCCUCAGAAAAGGGUCUAGAACCAGGGACGAAAGUUGUGGGAUUGGAUAGAUCAAAGUGCUCUUACCGUCGCCCCGUCGCUUUCGUCUGUGAAGUUUCCAUGCUGAAGGGAUAUGGAGUUUGUCUGGUUGCUAGUGCCCGUCGGGCGACUGCUUUUCCCCAGAAAUUUACCUGUGGCCCCGGAGUGUUUCGAGUCUUCCUUGCCUCCGCUACGGAACACCACGUAGACCUACAUUAAAACAGAAUUUCAUUAUCCUGCCUUCGCUGACUGUGGAAAAUUGCCUCUGCAAAAUAUUCAAAGCGUAAGAAAGGAUUUGGAUUGUGGAGAAGCAUUUAGGCUCCUUACCUUCACUUUGCCAUACUUCCAAGUGAAAAGGGCGACAGCGGGCAGGCAGGCGAUGACGCAGCAUUCCAGGAUGAGGAUAGCAGUUCUCAUCAACCAGUUCAAGGAUACCACACACGGUGAAUCGUCCUCACAGGACUCGCAACCCUCAGCACAGGGAAGACACUCGAACACGCCAUCCACGUCGUACUGAUUCUCUUCACCCUAGAAAUAAGAC